UAGCCUAGUGGUUAAGGCUAUGAAUUGCCAAUCCGGAGACGGCGGGUUCGAUUCCUGU
Non-coding RNA from Aedes albopictus (Asian tiger mosquito), 58 nucleotides. Lineage: Eukaryota; Metazoa; Arthropoda; Insecta; Diptera; Culicidae. The record is from Rfam.